GCGGGCGUAGGCUCAAUGGUAGAGCCUUCAGUCUUCCAAACUGACUACGCGGGUUCGAUUCCCGUCGCCCGCUCC
This 75-nucleotide transfer RNA is filed under the name Angustibacter aerolatus. RNAcentral describes it as "tRNA-Gly". It matches the Rfam family "tRNA". Rfam says of the family: Transfer RNA (tRNA) molecules are approximately 80 nucleotides in length. Their secondary structure includes four short double-helical elements and three loops (D, anti-codon, and T loops). Further hydrogen bonds mediate the characteristic L-shaped molecular structure. tRNAs have two regions of fundamental functional importance: the anti-codon, which is responsible for specific mRNA codon recognition, and the 3' end, to which the tRNAs corresponding amino acid is attached (by aminoacyl-tRNA synthetases). tRNAs cope with the degeneracy of the genetic code in two manners: having more than one tRNA (with a specific anti-codon) for a particular amino acid; and 'wobble' base-pairing, i.e. permitting non-standard base-pairing at the 3rd anti-codon position. Lineage: Bacteria; Bacillati; Actinomycetota; Actinomycetes; Kineosporiales; Kineosporiaceae. The record is from RNAcentral.